GGAAGUGUGGCCGAGUGGUUUAAGGCACUUGUCUUGAAAACAAGCGACGGCUAAUACCCGUCCGUGAGUUCGAAUCUCACCACUUCCGCCA
Molecule: transfer RNA, 91 nt
Filed under: Aquitalea palustris
Lineage: Bacteria; Pseudomonadati; Pseudomonadota; Betaproteobacteria; Neisseriales; Chromobacteriaceae
Description: Aquitalea sp. MWU14-2217 tRNA-Ser
Rfam family: tRNA
About the family: Transfer RNA (tRNA) molecules are approximately 80 nucleotides in length. Their secondary structure includes four short double-helical elements and three loops (D, anti-codon, and T loops). Further hydrogen bonds mediate the characteristic L-shaped molecular structure. tRNAs have two regions of fundamental functional importance: the anti-codon, which is responsible for specific mRNA codon recognition, and the 3' end, to which the tRNAs corresponding amino acid is attached (by aminoacyl-tRNA synthetases). tRNAs cope with the degeneracy of the genetic code in two manners: having more than one tRNA (with a specific anti-codon) for a particular amino acid; and 'wobble' base-pairing, i.e. permitting non-standard base-pairing at the 3rd anti-codon position.
Source: RNAcentral